GAUGAACGCUGGCGGCGUGCCUAAUACAUGCAAGUCGAGCGAACGGACGAGAAGCUUGCUUCUCUGAUGUUAGCGGCGGACGGGUGAGUAACACGUGGAUAACCUACCUAUAAGACUGGGAUAACUUCGGGAAACCGGAGCUAAUACCGGAUGAUAUUUUGAACCGCAUGGUUCAAAAGUGAAAGACGGUCUUGCUGUCACUUAUAGAUGGAUCCGCGCUGCAUUAGCUAGUUGGUAAGGUACGGCUUACCAAGGCAACGAUGCAUAGCCGACCUGAGAGGGUGAUCGGCCACACUGGAACUGAGACACGGUCCAGACUCCUACGGGAGGCAGCAGUAGGGAAUCUUCCGCAAUGGGCGAAAGCCUGACGGAGCAACGCCGCGUGAGUGAUGAAGGUCUUCGGAUCGUAAAACUCUGUUAUUAGGGAAGAACAUAUGUGUAAGUAACUGUGCACAUCUUGACGGUACCUAAUCAGAAAGCCACGGCUAACUACGUG
RNAcentral lists this ribosomal RNA (496 nucleotides) under uncultured bacterium. RNAcentral's name for it is "partial 16S ribosomal RNA". It matches the Rfam family "Bacterial small subunit ribosomal RNA", at positions 28 to 507 of the family's 1533-position model. The record is from RNAcentral.